RNA transcript from Ostrea edulis (European flat oyster), 6808 nucleotides. It is a transcript of the gene named cell death abnormality protein 1-like, with no coding region annotated. The transcript has 8 exons. The record is from RefSeq and is a predicted model, not a curated record. Lineage: Eukaryota; Metazoa; Mollusca; Bivalvia; Ostreida; Ostreidae.
UCAUGCACAUGCAUUGUAUAAGUAUUGUCAAAAGCGACUAUAAUAUAGGUGCAUGUUCAUCAAUUGAAAAAAGGCAUGGAUUUUUAAGAUAAGCUAGAAAUGUUUUGUGCGGCAUAUAUAUCUUGGAUGUUUUGUUUGAUGCAUGUAAAGUUGAUUUAUUCUGGUGAAAUUAGUAGCACUAAGAAAGGUGAAAUUGAAUGUUCACCUGGAUAUGUGGGGCCUAAUUGUAGUAUCCCGUGUCGAUAUCCCAGCUUCGGUCAAGAUUGUCAAUUGAAGUGUUCCUGUGAAGAGUCAGAUUGCCAUGGCGUCACAGGAUGUAAAGAAAUGACAUAGACGUGACUAUAACGAAAGAAGGAAUAACUAUUCGGCAGAGGCGGUGGAGGUAGAUAAUAGAGAGAACCAAAACGUCACCACUAACCCCAUGAUGUGACUACCUACAAAAGAAAGGGUGGGUGCUUUGUAUGUACAUGUAUGCUAUGUAAAGUAGAACUAUAACUUUACGUUUACGAAUUGAUAAUCUAUUUCAUUAUAUUAAAGAGUAUCAUUGCAUUAACUGCUCAUCAAUUGAUAUUGAGUGUAUGUCCUGUUAUACGAUAAUACUUAUAGAUUUCCGAUUUCAAACCAAGUACGAGUAAUUUGAAAAUUGUAAACGAUCGACUUCGUUCGAGAAUCUUUUAAUUCGAUUUUGCGAUAAUGCCAUAUAUUUGAAACAAAAAAUGCAAAUGCAUCCAUGAUAUGUUACAUGUAAUUGUUAGUGGAGGCAUGCCACAUGUCGUACUUAUGUCUACACAUAUUCUACAUGAAUAAAGAAAACUGUCCAACCAGUGAUUAAAUAGUGAUAUUAACCAAUGUGACAUUGAAAUACAAACAAUUAAUCAAAGACAAGUAUAUCGAAAGAUCCUACAGCUUUUCACAAGCAGUAAAACAAUAUCAUUUUAAUACCUUGUUGUUUACCAUUUAUACAUAUACAUAUACCUAUGUACACGUAGGCUCAAUUUCAAAAAAUGCAAGAAAUGGAAUACCAUUUUCAUAAUUCAUAUCCAAAUUUAUAUCAUUUAAUCCUCAAAUCCACUGAUCAAACGUUGAACUCCUUAUUCAUUGGUGUCUAUAAAAGAGAGAGAGAGAGAGAGAGAGAGAGAGAGAGAGAGAGAGAGAGAGAGAGAGAGAGAGAGAGAAUGUGUCCUAAUGACUAACGUAUAAUCGAAACCAAAUCUAAGAAAUAAUUAAGAACCAACUUCCAGUUUUGAGAGUGACUGAAAUGAUAUACAUUAAGACUUUUCCAAUCAACAUGUUGAAUAAAACUGAAAGACAUUUCUCAUAUUUGCAUUUUGAUUAUUUCAUUCGCAGAAGUUAGCCCUCGCAUAGAUCAGGUCAUGUAUAACCACACGCAAUAUUUAUAUUCUAAGACAAAUAUUUUUUAAUGAAUUAUUUUUGGAAAAAUAGCCGCACAGAAAUACUUUUGAACCAUGUAGCAUAGUUCAAAUCAGUGAAAUGGUGCGUAUGCAUAAAUGUAUUAAACAUUCGGUUCAGAUUACUCCCCUUUAAUGCUUACAUGUGAUAAGAAUAAUGGUAAAUUUUGCAAGGUGAAGAUAACGAAGAGUGAUCAAUCUCAUAACUCCUACAAGCAAUACAAAAUAGAUAGUUGGGCAAACACGGACCCCUGGACACACCAGAGGUGGGAUCAUUUGCCUAGGAGGAGUAAGCAUCCCCUGUUGACCGGUCACACCUGCCCUGAGCACCAUAUCCUGAUCAGGUAAACGGAGUUAUCCGCAGUCAAAAUCAGUGUGCCAAGAACGGCUUAACAAUCGGUAUGAAACACGUCAGACAGCAUUUGACCCAAUGCGAGGUUGUAUUGACGAACUAGAUCGUUAUAACGACCAUAGAAUUGCGAAAUGCUGACUUCAAUCGAGACUGUUGAAAUCCCUGUACCAUCAACUUGUUUGUCAGUAGCUUACCUCGAUUUAAAAACUGACUAUACCCAGAACAAUCUCUUGCAUAUCGAAUGAGUUGAGAUAUAUAAACACCAUAUGCAGGUGAUAAUGGAAUAUUGCUACAUAAAUGUGGGAAGUUGACGAUGGAGAAGCUGAAAUCAUCCCGUUUGUCAUACAGUUGAGUUGUUAGUUUCCGUUAAUGUCUACUUUCAAUAAAAUAUCUAAGUAUGAAGCAGAAGUGGACGACUCUGUGGUAUCCUUUAUUUCGAGCUCACAGGGAUAUAUCAAAUGGACAUAUGAAUGAAAGCUAUCAUUGUUAAUAGACAAAACGUCAUCGAUAUAUCUAAAAGUCGAACUGAAGGUCACAGCGAGAUAUUUUUUCUUCUCACGUAGAAGUUUUUGAAUAAAUUCUGCUUCAUAUGAAUGUAAAAACAGGUCAGCUAACAAAGGAGCACAAUUCGUGCCCAUGGGAAUUCCAACAGACUGUUGGAAGACCUGAUCACCAAAGACCAAACAUAUCAACAUGAGUUUCGGUGAUUGAUGGUCUUUAACAAGAAGGCGUUUCAACUUUAUAUCCAAUUCCCCCACCAGUCGUAAAGAAUCCCUCUACAAGUUCAACAACGGAUAAUGAAACAAACUGUCAGAGAGGCUACACUGGCGCUAGAUGCGACCUAUUGUGUCGGUUUCCUAGUUAUGGAGACGGAUGUCAAAUGAACUGCAGCUGUACCGAAAAAUAUUGUAAUCACACGCAUGGAUGUUCAACCAACAUUACAAAUAUUCCGACAGGCUUAGCGACUGACACUAUAAAGACGAGUUCUGUAAAAAUGUUCGGGAUUGCGGUAACAACAUGUUAUGGCUGCACUUACUUUCGUGACAAUAUCUAUGAAUCUAAUAGUCGAACUGUUUUGCUCCAGAGCAUUAAAGUACUAGGAGGUUUAGUGUCUAUCAUCUACAUUAUCUAUGUGUGUACCUUUUUCCUCACACCUUGUAUGAGAUCUGAAAAUCCUCAAAAUGAAACAAUUGUUAUUGAAAUCAACAGUGACCCUGUUUACGAAAAUGAACAUAUCUGAAACGUUUCCUGAUCGUUGUUUAAGAAGAGGAUGGACGAUUUAAAGAACCAGAGCCACGAAUAGCCAAAAAUGGCCCUUAGUCAGAACAUGAUAUUAUUAUCGGGGACAGAAGCCAAGAAUAUCUAUUUUUCAAAUAUGUUCUACUUUUUCCGAUAUAUUUUCAAUUUUUUUAGUUAGUGGCGUUCAAAGUACCCAUUGUUUUGACCAGAUUGCUAUUGACGUCGCAAUUUUGCAACGUAACGUGACAAAUUUACAACGUUUCAUGUAAUUUUACGUGACAGUUCUCUAGGUAUAAAAGUGAAACAAGAACACUAUUCAGUGGAAUUUGAUCAUAUUAUUGUACAUAUUUAAAUCUGUCUAUGUUAAAUCUAUAUUAAAACACACACCUAUAUAGUAUACUCGUACAUCCCUUUCUCCCCUCUCUGUUUGUCUCCUUCCCUCUCUUUAUAUUUUUUAUUUUUUAUUUAUAUGCAACCAUUCAACAAUUUUAAAGUAAUAUUAAUUCAGUACCUCUUUACUUAGCUUUGUUAUUUUAGUAUGACAUGAAGAUAAACCCAAUCCCAAUAUUUUAACUGUAUAACCAUUUAUUGCACAUACCGAUAGUUUUCGGGGGUGGGCAUCUUAAAAUGUACACGAAAACACAGUGGAUCCAACCGUUGACUUACGAAUACGAUCUAUUGACCUACAUGUAUGUACAGAGGCGGAUCCAGGAAUUGUGGUUACGGGGCCGCCACUUUAUGAGGCAGUGGGUCCAGGGCGAAGCCCUAUUGGGGGUUCAGGGGACAAAGCCCCCGGAAGCUCCUGGGUUUUACAGAUUUUAUGGGGCUUAAAAUAGUUCUAUUUAGUCAUUUGUACUAUUUUCUAUCAUUUUAAUAAGGUGAAAUUAAUAAAAUAACUCAAAUUUUAAGGGUUUUUUGGAAAAAAAUUAAGUUCUCCUAAUAAAGUAAUUCAAGACAUCAAAAGAUUUUGUCAUUUAUUUCUCCGGGAGUGGAAGAAAUUAUUGCUUAUUUUAUCGUUUAGUACAUUUUCCGAAACAAGAUACCGCGAUUUACCUUAAAUUUGAAAAUUUUAGGGGGGGGGGGGGGGGGGGGGGCGCCGGCGCCUCCUCUAAAUCCGCCACUGAUGUAUGUGCGUUUCAAUAUUACAUGUAGUUUAUGUUGCAUAUGGAUCACUUCUUUUAAUAAUCUUUUAUAAGUUCGGUUUUUUUAUUUUAUCAUUUGUUUGAGGGGUGUUAUUAUUAUCCCGCAUGUACAUGUAAACACGCCGAAAACAGUAAUAGCCAGGCUUUGGACAGCAGCGUUAUUUCAGACGCACGUUGCUACAUGUACAACUUUGGACAGUGAGGAAACAUGUUAAUGCUAUGUUUCACACUUCUAUUUUGUGUUUUGCUAUAUAGGGAGUUACGUUUAUGAUGUGUGGGGGGAUAGGGGAACUAUUAAAAAAGUAGUCGUACGUGUACAGAAUAACACAUGAACAUUUAGUUUAGCCAAAUGGAGAUACUUUAUUUUACAUUAGGCUAAGAAAAUGUUCACGUGAACUCAUCAUCAGGUAAAAUAUGUUCCAUUUAUCUAAUUUCAUUAGUUUCCUAUCCGGAUCAUUUAUUACAAUAAUAUCUAGACCUGUGUGUAUCUUAAAAUGCCUUAAUUAUUAUCAUUAACUCCAUAAGAUCUAUGAAACUAAUUCAUUAAUUUAAAAAUCUUAUUCUGAUACUGCUACAUAUAAUAGAAUCAAACUUCCUCCUUGCAUAUAUUUGGUUAGAGUGCAACCAAAAUUAUGCGGAUGUUAUUUUCACAUAAAUAGAAACAAGAAUUUUAUCAAUCAAGGGGUUAACUCCAUGGUGAAUUAACGCAUCUGUAGUUUGGCAUCCACCAUAAAAUUUGCUAAUUUUAACACUUUCACAUUUCUUCCUGUCAUUGGGUUUAGUUCUUAUCUUACGUAAAAUGCACGAGGGAAACCUUUUUCCGUUAUCAGACACUUCCUCCAUGUAACAAACACUUAAACUAAAUUAAGUAGGACAGUGUGGUUUCAUAAUGUGUUCAGUUCUUCCUUCUAUAAUACUUAGUAAUAUUUUACUUGAUUAUGUAGGAUAAUAUAUUUUUAAAAAUAAAUACAUCAACUUUUACUUCAGAAACGAGUGUCAUUCAUAUGUUGACCUCUAUUUUAAUCAGUAUUAAUGAUAUCUUCUUUGUUCCAUUUGUCGUUUUUAUUUUGUUAUAAGAUUUGUGGUUUUGAAUAUUUGCUGUUGAGACUGAAUUUUCAAUGAUAAAUUGAAGUGAAACAAUGAAAUAUACAUUAUUUUCGUUAACAUUCUUUUUACAUUAUUUUUUUUCCUUUUCGAAUUAUCCAUUAUUAUUAUCCCUUUUAUUAACUGCCUUGUAUUUUUGCUAAUUAGAUCAAAUGCAAUUCUGUUUGUCAAUGAAUUUCAUUUAAAAGCAAAGCAAAAUCCAUAUUGCUAGAUAUAUAUUUCGGAUUUAUUUCUAUAUAUUGAUUUCUGAGGGAUGAAAUAUGCAAUGGACCGGAAUAGCUGUAUGUCGAAAUAUAACGGUACCCGAUGACGUAUGUCCAAAUCGGUUGACACGUAAACAACCUAACGAAUGUUGUAGAUAGUUAAGAGACCUGUAGCCUACAGUCUAUCAUUUGUAUUUUUAUGUGGACGCCUAAUUUUUGUCUGGUACCCAUACAUUGUACUGUAACUUUAGAAAUCAUUAAACAGUACGGGAUAUGCCAAUAUAUCUUCACAUCUAAGUAGCCUAUCGAGUUAGGCACCCCUCGUCUCUCAAAGUCUUUUUAUGUACCGCGACAGCGAUUUAAACAAGCUUAUCAGUGCCAAGAAAACUGAAUGAACGGAGACGAAACAUGUGAAGCCAGAUAUUUAUUAAAUUCAACGGCCUUCAGAUAAUUAGAAUAUAUAUAGUGUGAUAACGUAUAAAGAAAUUGUGUGGAAGUAAAGGCGCGGCGCAGACAAUUGUAUCUGGAGUUGAUUUGAGAACUUAGCUUCGUAAUUGUUUGAUCAAAUAACUAAAACUGUUAACUAGUGCAAGGUUUUUGUAGCCAUCCCUAACAUGGUUACAUAUAUAUUCAAGUUCAUAAAUUGAACAUAUAAUUUAUUUGAAAUUUUGGGGGCAAAAUCGACUGAUGUACGUAGCCCGAUUCCGACGAUGGCGCGGAUCCGAUUUUAUUUCAAUAAUAUUGUUUGAAAUAAUCAUAUUUUAUUAACUUUGAAUAAUUACUGGUUUUGUAAAAAGACAACGGAACAACCCCCAACUAAAUAUUACGAUUUGUAUUAAAUCUAUAGUUUAGAAAAGUAUUCGGAUUUCGUGAAUGGAAUGUGAAAUUCCGGUUAUUUGCAGAACAUAAAAAGUAAAAAUGCACUUAUCCCCCAGACCUCGAUCCAAACAAACUCUUAACUUCUAUGCAGUAUGUAAUAUACUAAUUUACAAUUCAUUAAUAUUUAUUGGAUGGAGGCCUGGAGGUUAUACAAAUUGUUGGUGCAUAUUGUUGGAUAUUAUCAACUUUUACAAAACUAACACAACAGUUGUGGGUUCUGCAUGUUAUAAUUUCUAUAUGCGUGUCUAAGCUAUUCCAAACCAUGAUGAAAUUUUGGAAUGAAGAUACUUUAUUUUACUAAAAAAUACGGGGCCGUAUUUGGGUAUUCGUGGCUCUUGUUCUUUGAUAUUACCAAAAAUGUAGAUUUUCCAUCUGCAAGUGUACAUUCAAAAUUUACGUUUAAUUGAUAUUAUAAUUAAUGCAACAUUUAUUGUACAGUUCAUGUCUUAAUAAAAGCGUUAUGUUUAGCAAAGAGCAAGG